GUCGCCGAGGCGGGACCUGCAGGGGGAAUGGCCUGAGCCAGCCUGAGACCUUGGGAAAAGCUGAACCAACAGAGAAAGGACACCAAAAUCCACCAGCUUCAGCUGGUGUGAGGAGGAGACCAACGUCAGAAAUUCAACAGGAUGAUGGCAGGACAGCUUCUUGAAAACUCCAGCAGUAUUUCAUUCCAAUGGCCAUAAAGAAUGCAGUAACAUCAAGCCUCCUGGAUAACCUGUCAUGGCUGCUUGGGAAAACAGAGGACCAGAAGAGCGUAAAUCCAAGACUUGUGGAGUUGCCCUUUCCCCCAUCUAUGCUGUACAUUGGCAUGGUAAAAUUUACCACUCCUUGCUUUGCUGGCAAUUCCCUCCACGUGAAACUCAUCCCCCUUUGGUCUC
Long non-coding RNA from Passer domesticus (house sparrow), 393 nucleotides. RefSeq lists it as uncharacterized. The transcript is spliced from 2 exons. The record is from RefSeq and is a predicted model, not a curated record. Lineage: Eukaryota; Metazoa; Chordata; Aves; Passeriformes; Passeridae.